Non-coding RNA from Flavobacterium hibernum, 33 nucleotides. The record is from Rfam. Lineage: Bacteria; Pseudomonadati; Bacteroidota; Flavobacteriia; Flavobacteriales; Flavobacteriaceae.
AAGGAGUAACCGAAAAUCCUAAAAGAGUAGGUG